GUCUUUUAAGCUCAUGUGUGACACCUAGCCUGUCAGUCUGCCAGUCAGCUGUGUCUUGGGUAGCCGGCCUGCAGCCCAGCUUGCAGGAUGAGAGCCCAUUGGUGGAGCUGUGUGUUAGGACUGCUCUGCAUACCUGCUGAAGUUGCAAUCAGCUUUAGCCUGGUUUCUCAAGAGCCCCGUCCAUCUCUCUAAUGAGAGGUAACUCAUCUGCUGAGAUCACAUGCUCCACAUCACUGCUUGGUGCACAGGGGUUCACCUUGCACAGGUUCUUCAAUGGCAACAGGCAGAUUGUAUACCUGUACUUGGUGAAUGGAGCAGUCGCCAAGACGACUAUAGCUUCAGAAUUUAAGCAGCGACUUCGUGUAUCUCCAGUCAAUAUCAGUGAUGGCCAGGGGUUCACCUUGCAAUUCUCUCUGCUGGGAGAGAAGGACACGGAUGUCUACUUCUGCAGCUGGAGCUACAUAACACCAACUACAAUUACACACCUGGAAAAGGCACCAUUAUCAUUCUAAGAGAAAAAGAUCCCAAGGAACAAUGCAAGAAUCACAUUUUGAAACACAUCUUGAUCGUCUCGAGUGUUACAGCAUUCACUGUCAUAUUUGUAUCCAUCAUUGGAGCACUCAUAGUGAGAUGCAAUCAAUUCAAAGCACAUUUUAGACCCGCCAAAGUCGAAAUACCAGCCAGACCUACCAGGCCUCAGCCUGUUUCUCCUCAGCAGACAUUUCAACAUCGUCCAUACCUGACCACAUCGUUAUGCUCUAUGGAACACAGGGGCCUCCUGUGAUCCUAAGAACGGAUGCCAUGGUAAAGCCAUGAGAUGAAUAAUUUGAGAAAAGUUCAUGGCUCAGAGGAUUUGUAAUAGAGUGUAUGUUUUGAGUCAGAAGCUCACCAUAUGUUCUCAGCACAGAAAAAAUGUCUCGCAUUUUGCCUUGCUUUUCAUUUCCUGUCAUGUAAAAAUGUAUGUUUGUUUGCACAAAAAUGAUCGAGCUACCACAUCCUGGCUGAUACAGAUGUGUGAUGCAUGUAAACAGUGUAAGCGAGAAGAAAAAAAAAAGCAGAGCUUUGUUAUUCUACUUCAACUGUUACAUUACAUAAGCUAUACUGUGGCAUUUGCUGGUAUAUGUGUUUUCUUUGUAGGUCAUAUAAAGAGUUUUAUAUUUUUGAACAAGUGUGCCUGAUUUGAUGUGAACAUUAAAUGUAAGCUUUUUACAAUUUCA
Molecule: long non-coding RNA, 1217 nt
Organism: Labrus bergylta (ballan wrasse)
Lineage: Eukaryota; Metazoa; Chordata; Actinopteri; Labriformes; Labridae
Source: RefSeq, a predicted model, not a curated record